UGCCGCCCUUGGGAGUGUUGGUGUCAUUGCCUUCAACCAUCUUGUUCACUUGAUUCAGAGCGGGCUUCAAGAUGUUGUACAGAACCCAUCCGAUGGCAGGUGCCAAGAUGAAGAGAAGAAUCAGGGGUCUGGUAUCAGCACCGAGCUGUGCAAUCUCUUGCACCUGAGCAUCGGCUUCAGGGGCAGCCAACAGUGAGCUUGCAGCUAAGCUGAUUCCGGUGGCUCCGAUGACGCUCUUGAAUCUCUUUCCACCCUUCGUAGGAGUUUUAACAUCGUUGCCCUCGAUGAUCUGGUUAACCUGAUUCAAUGCAGGCCUCAAGAUGUUGAACAGGACCCAUCCAAUCGCUGGAAGAAGGAGGCCAAUGAUGAUCAGUCCCCUGGAGUCUGAGUCGGCAAGAUUGGCAAUCUCCUGAGCGGCGUCGGCAUGAGGGGCCAAAAGCAUAGAUGCUCCUCCGAGGCCGAGGGCUCCAACUACUCCCCUCUUGCGUGAGGAGGAGGCUCCAGUGUUGCCCUGGUUCUGCAUCUUCUCAAACUGGUUCAAAGCUGGGCGCAAGAUGUUGAACAACACCCAUCCGAUGGCAGGCAGAAGAAGACCGAUGAUGAUCAGACCCCUUGCAUCAGACUCCGCGACUUGGGCGAUUUCCUGAGCAGCGUCAGCGUGGGGAGCUGCAAGCAUAGCUAGGGAUCCAAGUCCGGCACCCGCGACCAAAGCCUUGGCGCUCCUCAU
Molecule: long non-coding RNA, 727 nt
Filed under: Physcomitrium patens
Lineage: Eukaryota; Viridiplantae; Streptophyta; Bryopsida; Funariales; Funariaceae
Description: long non-coding RNA (PPAT_LNC005581)
Source: RNAcentral